AAAGUACAUAUAAAAUGUUGUAUUUUGUCAGACUUUUGCAUAAUGUCUUUAUAUUUAAACAUUACAAUAAAUAUAUCUAUACAUGAACAUAUUUUAAACAAAUAAUUCUGCGAAACAAUCUAACAAUUUUUAAAACAAAUUAAUAAUUUGCAAGAUACCUAUCGACUAUGCAACGAGUAAUCAACUGGUAUAACGGUCAGCCUUGGGUUCAAGAAACAGCGGCAUACAAAGAUAUGCAAUAUACACGUAGAAUGCAUUUAAUGAUAAGGAAAAAGUUGUGUCAACUCAAUAAUGAAGAAAUCGAUAAUGCGUCAAAAAUUGCGAAACCAUGGUGCCCGGAUCGUGAACUACUUUUAAAAGAUUUUACCACACUUGCCCACUUGGAGAAUUCGGACAGCGUCCUUAUACUAUGUUCCAUGAUUCACCAAAUAGACCAAAACCAAUGAAUAAUGCAGAUAUGGCAGAUAUCCAGUGCAGCUUUCUGGGAUUAACUGUUUUAUAUCCAAAAAAUAUCGGAAUUCAUAAUGCGACCGAUGAAGAUCUAGACGCCUUUUGUCACAUGUGGAGAUGUUAUGGAUAUUUUCUUGGAAUAGCAGAUGAGUACAACUUUUGCCGUGGCAGUUUCGAAGAAAUAAAACAACGGACGCAAGAUUUUUAUCAAUGUUGGAUAAUACCUAAUCUAAGGGAUAUUACACCUGAAUGGGAACACAUGACGAGAUGUAUAAUUGAAUCCAUGAAUUAUUAUUCUUUAAUGUGCAUGUCAUGUAAAACAAUAAUAUUAUUGACUACAGAUAUACUGAAUUUAAGUAUGUCGCAUUUACAUGGAUCACUCAGUUAUCUGGAGUGGAUUGCUUAUAAGAGUUGGACGUUUAUAAUGCAUUACGCCAUGAGAUUCUCAAGCCUUCGAAUACUAUUUAAUAAAAUGAUGCAAAACAUGUUUGAGGAAGCGGCCAACUUUACUCCAGAAAAACAUGAAGAGCUACAAAAGAGAUCAGAAAAACAAUUAUCGAAUUUUUCUAUUGUAGAUUAAAGGAAAACAUGAUUAUAUAAAAAGAAUUUAUUCUAUUUAUAAUUCGCAAAACAUUUCAGUUCAGUUAUAUAGUUAUUACACACAUAAUUUAAAUUUUAUUUGAAUUUAUAUCUUUCCUAUAUUUUUAUAUCCAUAUAAUUUAGUUACAUUAGAUAUAUUUACUCAAAAUUUCUAUAUGUUUAAUAUUAUAUAAUAACAUUUUCGUUUAUGAUAAUAUAUUGGGUUGGCCAAAAA
Molecule: RNA transcript, 1264 nt
Organism: Ooceraea biroi (clonal raider ant)
Lineage: Eukaryota; Metazoa; Arthropoda; Insecta; Hymenoptera; Formicidae
Source: RefSeq, a predicted model, not a curated record